Molecule: long non-coding RNA, 4038 nt
Organism: Ursus thibetanus thibetanus
Lineage: Eukaryota; Metazoa; Chordata; Mammalia; Carnivora; Ursidae
Source: Ensembl
AUGGAAGCAUACUUAGAAGCAUUACCUUUCUUUUCUUUAGUGGAGAAGAAUACAAGAACACAGCACUGCUUCUGUGAGAUUCCUGCCAAAGAUGCGCAACCUAAAUUUAAUCAUGAGGAAACAUCAGACAAACCCAAAUUAAGGACAUUCUACAAAAGAGCUGGCCUUUAAAUUUCAAGCGUCAAGAUCCUGAUAGUCAAAGAAAGACUGAGAAGAUUGUUCCAGGGGAAAGAGACUAAAAAGACCUGACAACUGUAUGUAUCUUGUGAUUCUAAGCUGGAGCCUUUACUACAAAAUCAUUAUUGGGACAGUUGGUAAAGCCUAAAUGGGGUCUGAUGAUUGAGUGUUAGUGAUACAUUUGUGGUAAUUCCUUGAAUCCAAUGGCUGCAUUUUAGUUGUGUAGGAAAACAUCCUUGUUUGUAAGAAAUACACAUCACCGUGCUCUGGGAUGAUGGAAAUCAGGUUGGCAGCUUGUCCUAAAUGGCUCAGGAAAAAAAAGUUUCCUGUAUUGUUCAACUGUAAGUUUGACAUUAUUUUAAGAAUUGUAAUUUAAAUUUGCUUUUAUGAUCAACAAUCCUUUAGUAUUAAUCAUAUACACUGUUGCUGUAAAUAUCAUAUUAUAUUAGAUAAUCCAUCUGGCAUUGUAAAGCAUUUUACCUGUUGACCUGAAAAAUGAUGAUAAUAGACUCACUGGGGUUUUGUUAGUAUUCAGAUGGGCAUGUAACAUAUUCUUUUUCCAUAUAAAAAAGGAGGGAAAUGUCUUAGUGAUUAAGUCUAUUUUAAUAGAAAAUAGGAUGAUUUAUUUUAGUAUUGUAAGUUUAUUUUCAGUAUUGAAGUCCAAAGCAUUGAUUUUCCCCCCAAAUAACAGAACAAUGGAUGCGGUCUUAUGAUUCAAAAGAAGUCAUUUUUACUCAUUAAAGAAAUCAGAGCCAGAUAAGACAUAUCUUUUGCAACCUUGGCUAAUUUACCUGACUAAUCCAAUUUUAUAAUUUUAUAAUUUCUUCUAUAACUUUACACUUAUUAUUGCUUUUUCUUUAAAACUACAUAGAAAUUUAACUAAAUUGGACCUGUGAUAAAAGUAUCUACCCAAAGAGUUUGAAAUAGAAAUUUUAACCCCAAAUCAGAAGUAAUAAGAACUAACAGCAUUAAGUGGUCAUAAGUGAACGGAUCUUUCCCUGUACAUAGAUACAUAUGUAGACAUCUACAUAUUUAUAAUGUAAUGCUCACAACACUAUGUAUUAGGUAUUAUUAGACCAAUAUAAUACAUAAGUAAACUGAAGUCUAAGAGGUUACAUAGUCAUACAAGUUGCUAAGCGAAAGGCAUAAGUUGUCUUGUGAAAGUGUAUCCCAACUAUCAAGGCUUAUAAAUCUCUUUACUAACCAGCCUUCUGAGGUAUGGCUGACCCUAGAAUUGCCCAGGACCCAAAGCAAUUAUGCUUCUAAAACCACUGUACGCCGGUACUCCCAAAUAUUCGUGUUUCUAAGAAAUCUAGUUAAAAGCUAUAGCUAAAGAAACUCCAAGUAGAAAGAAGUGAUGCAAGGUCGACACCAAACCUCUUAUAGGUGGAGAUUUGAAAUAACUCAUUUGAGGGGUGGCAGGACUAAUGGGUUGAUUGUAUCCAUCUGAACCUUACGUCUUUUUGACACAAAUGCACUUAAUCACACCAUUUUCCCCAAUUAACAGCCUACCUGAUUCACUGCCCUAAACCAACUGAAGUCCCACAGGAAGGGACCCAGGCUAAUCCUCACCCCCUCCCACCCAGCCUAAUUACCAUAGUCAUCUGCAUUUACAUCGACUGGGGGAGAAGGCAACAACGAAGAGAAACAUUGAUUAUUUUUGCAGUUUCAAGUCCAAUCUGAUUUAGAAACUACAUAUCAGUUUAUCUUGAAGUAAGCUAAGAAUGAAAUAGAAUUCUAUGUUAUGGCACGUAUCUAGAAAGUAUCAGUAAUCGAUGGUUUAUAUUUUAAAAUAAACUUUCUCAGGUUAUUAUUCCUAUUUUAAAUGUAAAUUUGCUGUGAUAAGUGUUUUUGAUAAAGUUCAGAAUUUCAUUUUACUAAUCUAAUGAGGAAAAAUAAGCACUUUAUAGACUGAAUGUAUCCCCCACAAAAUUCAUAUGUUGAAGAUGAAUACCCAAUGUGACUAUAUUUGGAGCUAAGCCUUUUAGGAAGAAAUUAAGAUUGAACGAAUUCAUAAGGAUGGGAUCCUAAUUCAAUAGAACUGUAGACCUGAUAAGAAGAGGAAGAGAUCCCUCCCUCUCUCUCUUCACAGGCACACACAAAGGAAAGGCCAUGUUAACACACAGUGAUAAGGUGGCCAUCUGCAAGACAGGGAAAGAAUUCUCUUCAGAAUUCAACCACGCCCCCUGACUUCAGACUUCCAGCCUCCAGAACCAUGAGAAAAUAAAUUUCUGUAAAGACACUUAGUCUAUGGCAUUUUACUAUGGCACCCCAAGUUAAGUAAGACAUUUCCCAAAUUGACUUCAACUUACAACGAUAAAUUCUAUGUAAUUGUAUUUAAUUCCUAGUUUCACUCUCAAAAGCUACUGAGAUCAUUACUUCUCUUACAGAAUUUCCAUAUUCUUUAUUCUGUUUCAUAAGAAACUUAAUUACAUUUACUUCCCUUUGAAAGAAUUGACACAAAUGGCUAUUAGAAUCAUAUCUGAGGCAAAAUACCUUCAUAGUGCCAUAGUUAAGGAGCUGUGCAGUAUUUCAGAAGGAUGGUUUUAAAGCUUAGAAAACAGGAGCUACAUCUGAUCUAGUAAGUGAAUUAGCAAGAUGCUAAUAAGAUUAGAGAGAGGAUAUGACUGGUCCAGUCACAACUGAAGAGAGGGCUGGCGAAGUUCCCUUCCAACACAGAACAUCUUGGAUUCUGAUUCUCAGAUGUGCAGUUUGGGAAGUGGGUCAUUUCUUCAGACUACGUUAGUAUGCCAACUAAGUAAUUAUUACUCAAGUAUAAUAAAAAUGACAAAAAAAAAAACCCACAAAAAACUCAUGAGACUUUAAGAUUAAGCAAAUGACAAGGUCUGUGUGCUAACAGUAUAGACUUAAUGUGGGGAUGGUUGUUAGGGUGAAAUGCUCUGUACCAGAUGCCCAAAUUAGAAUCCCAGCUUAGUUAGAAUCCCACUUCUUGCUAUUAACCUGAGGGCAACCUUUCUGAGCUUCAGUUUCCUCACCUGCAAAAUGGGAUGAUAGUACCCACAACUAAGGAGGAAAUGAGUAAAUCCAUGUAAAGCCCUUGGAAAAGUCCCUUGCAUAUAGCACUCAAUAAGCAUUAGCUAUAGGAACAGCAGGACCAACUCUGCAUGUGAGUGCCUACAUACACAAAACCUGAGUGAAACAAUUUUGCUUUGCAAAUUACAUAUAAUUGGCUUUAUAAAUUUAUGUAAUUGCAGAAAAUUAUGUUCCUACUUCUAUAGCUAAGGAGUUCAUUCCUAUUCUCUUAAGUGAUUUUUGAAAAUGGAAUAUUAGAGUAAGAUGUGCUGGCUGGUCUCCAUUUGCCCUUCUAGAACCAUUCUCCACUCUUCCCUGUCUUAUUAUACCCCAGGGGAUUGACCUCUACUCUCCUCACACCUGGUCUCCUGCCCUCUGCUCCCUGUGAGUUUGGCCAGUGGCGGCCCUGAUAGGAAAUUGGAGGUUGGUAGGAGAGAAGGAUCAGAGUGUAUUCCUCCCCCUUCCUCACUUCCUCCCUCACUCCCUCCCCUUCUACUCCCCCCCCCCAAUUUCCUCCCUCCCCAGCCAAAAUUUUAGUUGUGUCUGUGGUCUUCCAUGUAAGGGGUAGGUUCCUCACAUGCACAACACCUGGUCUGUAAACCUUCCUUCUCCUUGCCUCUUCUGAUUUAGGGGUGGUAACACCAUCCCACUGUUCGUAGUUCCUAAGUAAGGUGACUUCACCAUCCCUUGCUCUGUCAUUUUUAUUAAACAUUAUUCAAUGAUUGUUUUCCAUCUGCCGUGGGUUCUGACUGAUAUGGAUGCUUAUAUACUUAUCUAAUUUGAUAGUGCUCUUGGAGGUCACCUUUAAUUGUCCUUUUUCUAAGUUGC